Molecule: ribosomal RNA, 292 nt
Filed under: uncultured bacterium
Lineage: Bacteria
Description: partial 16S ribosomal RNA
Rfam family: Bacterial small subunit ribosomal RNA
Source: RNAcentral
GUGUCAGCCGCCGCGGUAAUACGGAGGAUCCAAGCGUUGUCCGGAUUUAUUGGGUUUAAAGGGUGCGUAGGCGGAUCUUUAAGUCAGUGGUGAAAGCCUGCAGCUUAACUGUAGAACAGCCAUUGAAACUGAAGAUCUUGAAUUAGGUUAAAGUAGGCGGAAUGUAUCAUGUAGCGGUGAAAUGCUUAGAUAUGAUACAGAACACCGAUAGCGAAGGCAGCUUGCUGAACCUACAUUGACGCUGAGGCACGAAAGCGUGGGGAGCAAACAGGAUUAGAUACCCCAGUAGUCC